Molecule: transfer RNA, 59 nt
Filed under: Rattus norvegicus (Norway rat)
Lineage: Eukaryota; Metazoa; Chordata; Mammalia; Rodentia; Muridae
Source: Rfam by way of RNAcentral
UGGCUCAGCGGUUAAGAGCACUGAACUGCUCUUCCAGAGGUCCUGAGUUCAAUUCCCAG